This 394-nucleotide ribosomal RNA is filed under the name uncultured bacterium. RNAcentral's name for it is "partial 16S ribosomal RNA". It matches the Rfam family "Bacterial small subunit ribosomal RNA", at positions 523 to 918 of the family's 1533-position model. The record is from RNAcentral.
CUACGUAGGGAGCGAGCGUUGUCCGGAAUUACUGGGCGUAAAGGGCGCGUAGGCGGCGCUUCAAGUCGUCUGUCAAAUGGAAGGGCUUAACCCUUAUUCGCAGACGAAACUGGAGAGCUUGAGAAGCAGAGAGGCAAACAGAAUUCCUGGUGUAGCGGUGAAAUGCGUAGAUAUCAGGAAGAAUACCAGUGGCGAAGGCGGUUUGCUGGCUGCAUACUGACGCUGAAGCGCGAAAGCCAGGGGAGCGAACGGGAUUAGAUACCUCGGUAGUCCUGGCAGUAAACGAUGUAUGCUGGGUGUGAGACUAGCGAUAGUUUCGUGCCGAAGUUAACGCGAUAAGCAUACCGCCUGGGGAGUACGGUCGCAAGAUUGAAACUUAAAGGAAUCGGCGGGG